Molecule: ribosomal RNA, 484 nt
Filed under: uncultured bacterium
Lineage: Bacteria
Description: partial 16S ribosomal RNA
Rfam family: Bacterial small subunit ribosomal RNA
Source: RNAcentral
AUUGAACGCUGGCGGCAUGCCUAACACAUGCAAGUCGAGCGGAUGAAGGGAGCUUGCUCCUGGAUUCAGCGGCGGACGGGUGAGUAAUGCCUAGGAAUCUGCCUGGUAGUGGGGGAUAACGUCCGUAAACGGGCGCUAAUACCGCAUACGUCCUGAGGGAGAAAGUGGGGGAUCUUCGGACCUCACGCUAUCAGAUGAGCCUAGGUCGGAUUAGCUAGUUGGUGGGGUAAAGGCCUACCAAGGCGACGAUCCGUAACUGGUCUGAGAGGAUGAUCAGUCACACUGGAACUGAGACACGGUCCAGACUCCUACGGGAGGCAGCAGUGGGGAAUAUUGGACAAUGGGCGAAAGCCUGAUCCAGCCAUGCCGCGUGAGUGAAGAAGGUCUUCGGAUUGUAAAGCUCUUUAAGUUGGGAGGAAGGGCAGUAAGUUAAUCCCUUGCUGUUUUGACGUUACCAACAGAAUAAGCACCGGCUAACUUCGUG